This 465-nucleotide ribosomal RNA is filed under the name uncultured bacterium. RNAcentral's name for it is "partial 16S ribosomal RNA". It matches the Rfam family "Bacterial small subunit ribosomal RNA", at positions 28 to 507 of the family's 1533-position model. The record is from RNAcentral.
GACGAACGCUGGCGGCGUGCUUAACACAUGCAAGUCGAACGGAAAGGCCCUGCUUGCAGGGUACUCGAGUGGCGAACGGGUGAGUAACACGUGGGUGAUCUGCCCUGCACUUCGGGAUAAGCCUGGGAAACUGGGUCUAAUACCGGAUAGGAGCCAUUUUUAGUGUGAUGGUUGGAAAGUUUUUUCGGUGUAGGAUGAGCUCGCGGCCUAUCAGCUUGUUGGUGGGGUAAUGGCCUACCAAGGCGGCGACGGGUAGCCGGCCUGAGAGGGUGGACGGCCACAUUGGGACUGAGAUACGGCCCAGACUCCUACGGGAGGCAGCAGUGGGGUAUAUUGCACAAUGGGCGCAAGCCUGAUGCAGCGACGCCGCGUGGGGGAUGACGGCCUUCGGGUUGUAAACUCCUUUCGCUAGGGACGAAGCUUUUUGUGACGGUACCUAGAUAAGAAGCACCGGCUAACUACGUG